GUCCAGGGAUUGGAAUCGAACCCACAUUGUUCUGCUUACCGGGCAAGAUGCUAUGUGCACUAGGCUACCCUGGA
Molecule: non-coding RNA, 74 nt
Organism: Cordylochernes scorpioides
Lineage: Eukaryota; Metazoa; Arthropoda; Arachnida; Pseudoscorpiones; Chernetidae
Source: the annotation of a GenBank genome assembly